RNAcentral lists this unclassified non-coding RNA (320 nucleotides) under uncultured fungus. Its description in RNAcentral is "partial contains small subunit ribosomal RNA, internal transcribed spacer 1, and 5.8S ribosomal RNA". The stretch from base 1 to 73 matches the Rfam family "Eukaryotic small subunit ribosomal RNA", at positions 1759 to 1831 of the family's 1831-position model. The record is from RNAcentral. Lineage: Eukaryota; Fungi.
GCAAACUUGGUCAUUUAGAGGAAGUAAAAGUCGUAACAAGGUUUCCGUAGGUGAACCUGCGGAAGGAUCAUUAUUGAAUUAAAAUAAGGAUGUGCUGGUGGUCUAUCUUGGCUGCAUGUGCACUCCAAAAUCCAAUCUCAUUCACCUGUGCACUCUAAGUAGGAGACCUUUGAAGCAGACAGAUUUUACUGUUUGUUGAAAAGGAAUUCUAUGUUUUUUUUAUACACACAAAUGAUUUUAUAAAGAAAAUGCUGUAUGCAUAUAUAUAAACAACUUUCAACAAUGGAUCUCUUGGUUCUCGCAUCGAUGAAGAACGCAGC